This 23-nucleotide microRNA is filed under the name Aedes aegypti (yellow fever mosquito). RNAcentral describes it as "aae-miR-11903a". The record is from miRBase by way of RNAcentral. Lineage: Eukaryota; Metazoa; Arthropoda; Insecta; Diptera; Culicidae.
AACGUUACAAAUCGUAAGGCGAG